This 253-nucleotide ribosomal RNA is filed under the name uncultured bacterium. Its description in RNAcentral is "partial 16S ribosomal RNA". It matches the Rfam family "Bacterial small subunit ribosomal RNA", at positions 524 to 776 of the family's 1533-position model. The record is from RNAcentral.
UACGAAGGGGGCUAGCGUUGCUCGGAAUCACUGGGCGUAAAGCGCACGUAGGCGGCUUUCUAAGUCAGGGGUGAAAUCCUGGAGCUCAACUCCAGAACUGCCUUUGAUACUGGGAAGCUCGAGUCCGGAAGAGGUGAGUGGAACUCCGAGUGUAGAGGUGAAAUUCGUAGAUAUUCGGAAGAACACCAGUGGCGAAGGCGGCUCACUGGUCCGGUACUGACGCUGAGACGCGAAAGCGUGGGGAGCAAACAGG